CGAGGAGGAAAGGUUGGUAGCUAAUAUCUGCCGGCUGUGACGUUACUCGCAGAAGAAGCACCGGCUAACUCCGUGCCAGCAGCCGCGGUAAUACGGAGGGUGCAAGCGUUAAUCGGAAUUACUGGGCGUAAAGCGCACGCAGGCGGUUGGAUAAGUUAGAUGUGAAAGCCCCGGGCUCAACCUGGGAAUUGCAUUUAAAACUGUCCAGCUAGAGUCUUGUAGAGGGGGGUAGAAUUCCAGGUGUAGCGGUGAAAUGCGUAGAGAUCUGGAGGAAUACCGGUGGCGAAGGCGGCCCCCUGGACAAAGACUGACGCUCAGG
RNAcentral lists this ribosomal RNA (319 nucleotides) under Aeromonas veronii. RNAcentral's name for it is "bacterial SSU rRNA". It matches the Rfam family "Bacterial small subunit ribosomal RNA", at positions 440 to 751 of the family's 1533-position model. Lineage: Bacteria; Pseudomonadati; Pseudomonadota; Gammaproteobacteria; Aeromonadales; Aeromonadaceae. The record is from RNAcentral.